CUACGGGGGGCUGCAGUGGGGAAUAUUGCACAAUGGGCGCAAGCCUGAUGCAGCCAUGCCGCGUGUAUGAAGAAGGCCUUCGGGUUGUAAAGUACUUUCAGCGGGGAGGAAGGGAGUAAAGUUAAUACCUUUGCUCAUUGACGUUACCCGCAGAGGAAGCACCGGCUAACUCCGCGCCAGCAGCCGCGGUAAUACGGAGGGUGCAAGCGUUAAUCGGAAUUACUGGGCGUAAAGCGCACGCAGGCGGUUUGUUAAGUCAGAUGUGAAAUCCCCGGGCUCAACCUGGGAACUGCAUCUGAUACUGGCAAGCUUGAGUCUCGUAGAGGGGGGUAGAAUUCCAGGUGUAGCGGUGAGAUGCGUAGAGAUCUGGAGGAAUACCGGUGGCGAAGGCGGCCCCCUGGACGAAGACUGACGCUCAGGUGCGAAAGCGUGGGGAGCAAACAGGAUUAGAUACCCUCGUAGUC
Molecule: ribosomal RNA, 464 nt
Filed under: uncultured bacterium
Lineage: Bacteria
Description: partial 16S ribosomal RNA
Rfam family: Bacterial small subunit ribosomal RNA
Source: RNAcentral